CAAUAGCGUAUAUUAAAGUUGUUGCAGUUAAAAGCUCGUAGUUGGAUCUCAGGUCCCGGCUCGCGGUUCACCUCGCGGUGCUUACUGCCUGUCAGGCCCUACCCGCCGGUUGUCCCUUGGUGCUCUUCGCUGAGCGUCUCGGGUGGCCGGAACGUUUACUUUGAAAAAUUAGAGUGUUCAAAGCAGGCGGCUCGCCUGGAUAAUGGUGCAUGGAAUAAUGGAAUAGGACCUCGGUUCUAUUUUGUUGGUUUUCGGAGCUCGAGGUAAUGAUUAAGAGGGACAGACGGGGGCGAUUCGUAUUACGGUGUUAGAGGUGAAAUUACUUGGAUCGCCGUAAGACGAACUACUGCGAAAGACAUUUGUCCAAGAAUGUUUUCUAUUAGUCAAGAACGAAAGUACAGAGGUUCGAAGACGAUUAGAUACCAU
RNAcentral lists this ribosomal RNA (426 nucleotides) under uncultured eukaryote. Its description in RNAcentral is "SSU rRNA". It matches the Rfam family "Eukaryotic small subunit ribosomal RNA", at positions 592 to 1018 of the family's 1831-position model. The record is from RNAcentral.